RNAcentral lists this small nuclear RNA (104 nucleotides) under Moschus moschiferus (Siberian musk deer). Lineage: Eukaryota; Metazoa; Chordata; Mammalia; Artiodactyla; Moschidae. The record is from RNAcentral.
GUGCUCAUUUCAGCAGCACAUAUACCAAAAUUGGAAUGACACAGAUUACCUUGGCCCCGCGGCAAGGAUAACACACAAAAAUGCAUCAAGUGUUCCAUACUUUU